RNAcentral lists this unclassified non-coding RNA (1104 nucleotides) under Hevea brasiliensis (rubber tree). Lineage: Eukaryota; Viridiplantae; Streptophyta; Magnoliopsida; Malpighiales; Euphorbiaceae. The record is from RNAcentral.
CGCUCCAUUGUUAAAGAACCAACUCACUGAGGACGAAAGGUACUCUUCGUCUGGAUGGAAAUAUAUCCGGGGAGAGUAUGCCUGAAAAAUUGCCUGAAUUUGGUUUAGAUUAGGCAUACAAGAUAAAUUGGAGCUCACUUUCUUCAAGCAAGCUACAGAAGUAGGAGUAGAAUUGCCGUUUUGUGCCACAAAUGUGCCCACACAAACACCCAUAGCCUGCGUCCCUCUAUUGCUGGGCCUCAAACUGAAUGCGUUGAAUCCAUUUGGAUCGCUUUGCUUGCCUGGUCCCCAUAUCCAGGUGUCGAUCUCGCAUUGGUCGGUGAGGUCUGAUCGAACGCAGCAGAUUUUAUCCAAGGAAGGCUUUUCGGGGGAAUUGGUGACGACAACGCCUAAGGCUGUGUAACCAUCAGGAGCGUUGGGUAACCAAAUGUAGCCAAUGCCAUCUUGCUUGAUUUUCAGAGACUCGCUGCUCCAAACAAGCGUGUAAUCAAGUGGUGUCUUUAAGGCUCCUCCUACCUCAUCUUUCCCUGCAAGAACCCAUCCAUAAAGCGACCUGUUAUUGGGUUGGCUAUAGCUACCCAACAUAAAGAAUCCUUGUGGGAUUUGCGAGGGAUCAAAGAAAGAAGCGCCGAGAUCAUCUGGUCCCCCUUCAUGGGUAGCCCAAACUUUGUUGAAAGAUGAAAUCUGGCACACUCGUAAUCCACCAAGAUCAAUGGUUCCAUGUCCAAAACCUUCACCUGUUUAUUAUAGCAUGCGUGGAUCGAUCAUGAGAAACCAAAAUAAUAGAGAUGGAUUCACUAAAAAGAUUAGCAGAGAAAAAUGAAGCUAGAAAUUAAGUAUUUGAAGGUACCUGGUGGCCAAGUUGGCAAUGGAGAGGGAAGGCUGAAGGAGGUUUCGAUGGGGGAAGCUUCGGAGACAACGUUGGGACUUGCAGAAGGACGGUUCCCCAUUUAGUUGGUGAAGGUGUUGGAAGAAAACCUUAGGACAAGAAAGCAUAUAUAGAAGCAGCAAGCUAAAGGAGAAUAAUAUGGGAACCCUCUUAACAAAAAUGUGAAAAGCAAUGCCAGUAGGCAAUAAAAGGAGCGACCAAUGGAAGUUGGGAAU